UAAUACAUGCAAGUCGAGCGAGCGUGCCUAGAUGAUUUUAGUGCUUGCACUAAAUGAAACUAGAUACAAGCGAGCGGCGGACGGGUGAGUAACACGUGGGUAACCUGCCCAAGAGACUGGGAUAACACCUGGAAACAGAUGCUAAUACCGGAUAACAACACUAGACGCAUGUCUAGAGUUUGAAAGAUGGUUCUGCUAUCACUCUUGGAUGGACCUGCGGUGCAUUAGCUAGUUGGUAAGGUAACGGCUUACCAAGGCAAUGAUGCAUAGCCGAGUUGAGAGACUGAUCGGCCACAUUGGGACUGAGACACGGCCCAAACUCCUACGGGAGGCAGCAGUAGGGAAUCUUCCACAAUGGACGAAAGUCUGAUGGAGCAACGCCGCGUGAGUGAAGAAGGGUUUCGGCUCGUAAAGCUCUGUUGGUAGUGAAGAAAGAUAGAGGUAGUAACUGGCCUUUAUUUGACGGUAAUUACUUAGAAAGUCACGGCUAACUACGUGCCAGCACCGGCGGUAAUAC
This 517-nucleotide ribosomal RNA is filed under the name Lactobacillus johnsonii. RNAcentral's name for it is "bacterial SSU rRNA". It matches the Rfam family "Bacterial small subunit ribosomal RNA", at positions 49 to 526 of the family's 1533-position model. Lineage: Bacteria; Bacillati; Bacillota; Bacilli; Lactobacillales; Lactobacillaceae. The record is from RNAcentral.